UACGGAGGGUGCAAGCGUUGUCCGGAAUCACUGGGCGUAAAGGGCGCGUAGGCGGCUCAUGAAGGCUGUGGUGAAAGUCCGGGGCUCAACCUCGGAUCGGCCGUGGCGACUCGUGGGCUGGAGCACUGUAGAGGCGGGUGGAAUUCCGGGUGUAGCGGUGGAAUGCGUAGAGAUCCGGAAGAACACCAGUGGCGAAGGCGGCCCGCUGGGCAGUGGCUGACGCUGAGGCACGAAAGCUAGGGGAGCAAACAGG
Molecule: ribosomal RNA, 253 nt
Filed under: uncultured bacterium
Lineage: Bacteria
Description: partial 16S ribosomal RNA
Rfam family: Bacterial small subunit ribosomal RNA
Source: RNAcentral